Molecule: long non-coding RNA, 329 nt
Filed under: Dromaius novaehollandiae (emu)
Lineage: Eukaryota; Metazoa; Chordata; Aves; Casuariiformes; Dromaiidae
Description: lncRNA (ENSDNVG00000018669.1)
Source: RNAcentral
AUAGAAUGGAAUAAUGAAAACAUGGAUACAACUAUCAGCUGAUGUAAACUGUUGUCACUGCACUGAAGUUGAUGGUUUUCCACCCUGGAAUUUUUCUGAACCUCAGUUUCUCUGAAGACGUAUGCUGCGGCACAUGUUCCUGGGCACCUUACUGCACCUCCUACUACAUGAUCCAGAUGCUGUUUGAAAGAAAUUCAAAGCAUUGGGGAGCAUACGUAUCAUAAGAAAAUGGACUGAGAAGAAACAAGAAGGAGGUCAAACGCUAAAAACAAUGCCAAUUAUGGAAAAUUAUCAGCUAUGUAAAACCUUUUAUUUCUGUCUGUGGCACA